UCAUUUGGUCUCAAGCUUCGAUGAAGAAAGAUACGAAACAUAUCUGUUCUGAAUUACAGAAUGUGGUGAAAUAA
This 74-nucleotide ribosomal RNA is filed under the name uncultured Dinobryon. RNAcentral describes it as "partial 5.8S ribosomal RNA". Lineage: Eukaryota; Chrysophyceae; Chromulinales. The record is from RNAcentral.